This 980-nucleotide long non-coding RNA is filed under the name Homo sapiens (human). RNAcentral's name for it is "long non-coding RNA NONHSAT116897.2". Lineage: Eukaryota; Metazoa; Chordata; Mammalia; Primates; Hominidae. The record is from RNAcentral.
GCAUGGAGGUGGGGGUCGUGAUCUGCUCCCUGGGCCGGAGUUACUCACUGGCCUCGCUCUGGUUGUAGUAGCCGCGCAGGGUCUGCAGGUUCAUUCUGUCAGUCUGUGCGUGGGCCUUGGUGUUCCGUGUCUCCUCUUCCCAAUACUCCGGCCCCUCCUGCUCCACCCACGGCGCCCGCGGCUCCAUCCUCGGACACGCCGAGUCGCUGUCGAACCGCACGAACUGCGUGUCGUCCACGUAGCCCAUGGCGAUGAAGCGGGGCUCCCCGCGGCCGGGCCGGGACACGGCGGCGCUGAAAUACCUCAUGGAGUGGGAGCCUGGGGGCGAGGAGGGGUUGAGACCCGCCCGACCCUCCUCCCGGCGCGGCUGCCGAGUCCUGCGCCCCCGCCAGGCGGGCCCCUCCCUCCUCCGCGCAGGGGCCGUUUCCCUCCUGACCCCGCACUCACCCGCCCAGGUCUCGGUCAGGGUCAGGGCCCCCGAGAGCAGCAGGAAGAGGGUUCGGGGCGCCAUGACCACCAUCCUUGGCGUCUGGGGAGAAUGAGUCCGGGUGGGUGAGCGAGGACUUUAGAACCAGGACCGCGGCGACGCUGAUUGGCUUCUCUAAAAACCUGUCACCUAAUGGGAGUGAGAACUGGGGCCGCCCGGUGAGUAUCCAGGAAGAAGGACCCGACACAGGUUAGGAGAAGGAGGAGAGAAUCCCCAACGCGGGGCCUCCCCAACCCAUACACCGCCUGUGGGGCCUGAGACCCUGAGAGCCACGCUUGAGGCCCUGGGACUUCGCCCUGACCCCGCUACUCUUGUGCCAAGCGUUCUGUCUCAGUGUCUCCCUGAGUCUUGGCCCAGGAGCUGUCUGAGAAACCAGGGAGAAACCCUCGGCAAGGUCCCUGGCCCUCUCCCUUCACUUUUCAUCCCGGAAUCCCUGUCCCUGAACUGGACUCCCUGCCUCCCACUCCUUGCCUGUCCUCCUGUACUCUUCUAG